Long non-coding RNA from Gasterosteus aculeatus (three-spined stickleback), 1020 nucleotides. Lineage: Eukaryota; Metazoa; Chordata; Actinopteri; Perciformes; Gasterosteidae. The record is from Ensembl.
AUGGCGUCCGUCCUGUUGGCCGUUGGGUUGGUGCUUACACUUGAUGGUGUGCUCUCACCCUUACGUUUCUCCCUUUGGGCUUGCCUUGAACUUCUGGUUGACGCUGUAGCUGCAGUGGUUGACGUUUUCCUUUCAUCUGUGUGCGUCUUACUUGUCGUUGGGUCCGUACCUCCUUUGGACGUUGCGCUCCCACUCUUUCGCCUCUUAUUCGGGGUUGAGUCGCUAGUGGUGGAUGCCGGGGGCCCAUCGCUGUGCUUCUUAUUCGGCGUUGCCUGUGUACUUGUGGUCAACGUUACUUUCUCAUUGUCGUGUUUCCGUUUUGCUGUUGGGGCAAUAUUUUUAGCUGACGUGCUCUCGCUGUUACAAGUUAUAUUUACGGUUGGCUCAAUACCUCCAGUAGAGGUUGGAUUCACGCUUUUGGAUUUUUCAUAUGGUGCUGGUUUAGUUCUUCCACGUGUCAUCGUACCAUCAUUGGGUUCACUAUUUGAAGUUGGAUCAGUUCUUCCACUUGAUGUUGUUUUCUCAUUGUUACAUCUCUUACUUUUUGUUGGCUCACUAUUUCUGCAUUCAUCCUCUGGAGUUAGCUUGGUGCCCCGGGCUGAUGUUGUGGUAUUAUCGUGGGAUUUCUCAGUCGACGUUACCUCAGUUCUUCUGGUUGACGUUCGCUUUCCAUUGCUACAUGUCUUACUUAGUAUUGACUCGACACUUCCAGUUGUGGUCUGUACCACACCGUGGCUUUUGUUAUUUGUUGUCGGUGCAUCCUUUCCUUUUGAUGCUGCGUCGUCAUCAUCAUUAUAUUUCUCGUUCGGUGUCGGCUUGGUGCCUCUAGCUGAUGUUGCGGUCUUAUCGCUAAAUGUCUGCGUAGAUGCUGUGCGCUCACCAUUAUGCGUCUUACUAGCCGUUAGCACAGUCCCUCUGGUUGAUGGCAUCUUCCUGUUGCUAGGAUUCCCUUUUGGCGUGGUCUCAGCAUCCGUGUUCGAUGUGACGUUCUCCUCUUUGCGUGUCUUGCAUGGUGUUUGA